UCAGCAAGCAGCCAGCCAGCCUCCCCUCCCUCCCAGCACCUCACUCAACCCAGCCCUGACGGAGGGGAGGGAGGAGAGAGAGAGGGGUGCUCCUGGGGAGGAGGGAGAAAGGAGGGGGUGCUCCGUGGGGCGGGGGGGAGAAGAAUGGAUGUUAUGGGAGACAACAAAGGAUACUGGUUCCAGAGCCACAGCCUCACCUGACCUCAGCCGGGGGGAAAGAGUCACACUCACAGUACUUCUUUCUAAAGCCAUAAGUGGAUUUACUGGUGAUGGAAAGUACUGGAUUGACAGCCCUAGAAGUUGAAGAACUUUAUUUAUCCACUGAAAAGCUGAAUACACAAACAGAAGGAUGUGCAAACCUCCCCUAUGCUUUCCCAGUGGUGUACCUCUACUCUGUUCUGGAUGAGCCGUCACUCUGCAUUCUCAGUUAAUCAUCCCUACUACCUGCUGAAAUCACAAAUAAAAGGGCUAAUUUG
Gopherus flavomarginatus (Mexican gopher tortoise) is the source of this 476-nucleotide long non-coding RNA. RefSeq lists it as uncharacterized. The transcript has 2 exons. The record is from RefSeq and is a predicted model, not a curated record. NCBI's taxonomy places the organism in Eukaryota, Metazoa, Chordata, Testudines, Testudinidae.